UGUGAAUAUACUGGGGUCGUACUCACACGAGAGCAAGCCCAAAUUUUUACAAUGAAUGGUGACAGUUUAGUCUAUCCAAGUCGCUUUCCUGAUCGAUGGGCAGAAUGGGGAGAUUUGUCUCAAAUAUAUCCUAACUAUGAGCGCCCAGCAUACCCCUCCAUUCCUCCUCUGGAUUUUGCUAUGGAUGUGUCUCGAAUGAGGAAUGUAGCAUGUUAUAUUAGUCAUAGUUCAAGUCCCAAUGCUUUGGUGCAGCCUGUGCUUUAUGAUCACAACCAUGUAGCGUUCCCCCACAUGAUGCUCUUUGCAAUGGAGAAUAUUCCCCCUCUAAAGGAGAUCAGUAUUGAUUAUGGGGUAGCAGAUGAAUGGACAGGAAAGCUUGCCAUCUGUGAUUGACUAACUUAUAGUGGUUGAUUCAAUUUUGAAAAUGAUGCGGCAAAGCUGUUUCUCGUACAUUAUUUGCUGAGAUGAAGGGCACUGUUCUUGACAUUCCCGUUAUCUUGGUGACAGUCCAGACCGCAUCACUAGAUUCCUAAAACAAGUUGCUCUGAUAGCUGUUUUCUGCACCAGCUUGUAGAUCCUAUGUUGUAGAUAGCAUGGUGUUCAAGACUAGCUACAAGAGUGAAGAAAGUGAUAUUGCUG
This 639-nucleotide unclassified non-coding RNA is filed under the name Hevea brasiliensis (rubber tree). The record is from RNAcentral. Lineage: Eukaryota; Viridiplantae; Streptophyta; Magnoliopsida; Malpighiales; Euphorbiaceae.